RNAcentral lists this long non-coding RNA (808 nucleotides) under Nicotiana benthamiana. RNAcentral's name for it is "long non-coding RNA (NBEN_LNC039798)". Lineage: Eukaryota; Viridiplantae; Streptophyta; Magnoliopsida; Solanales; Solanaceae. The record is from RNAcentral.
AUAGAUACAGCAUUAUAUUUGAACUUUUAUUCGUAUUGAUACAAAAAAUCAUGAAGAACUUCUCCAGCAUAGCUUUCUUUAUAUUUGCCCUCUUUGUUCUUCUUGGUAAGUUGCAUCUCCAUAUGUCUAAUUCUUUUAAUUGAUGGAAAUCUUAUUAAAUAGUUGUUCAAUUUUCUAAUCUCAAAAUGUUUUUAUUUUUGUCGAAACAAAUGAAGACGCUAAAACAAGCCUCGGAGAUCAAGAAAUAUGUAAAAUUCAACCCCCGGGAGCUGCCACACCUUGUGAAAUAAUAAACUGCUCCAACACAUGCGACAAGUUCAAAGGAAAGCCUGCACCUCCUGGUAUUUCUGGACCAUUAUUUGGGGCGAGUUGCUCUGCGACUGAUACUUGUAUUUGCAUUUUCUGUUGUAAACCCCAGUGCAAAUAAUAUCUCUGUAUAUCAGUUCGCCGUUUUUCAUUUAUCGAUAUCGUAUUGAGGUUUGAUUAAAUUUAAAUAUUAGCCAAUUUUCUUGCUAGCCAUUUCUCGAUGGAAUAAUUAAAUUUAUACUGUUCCUUUUUGUUAUGGUGUCAGAUUCCCCUUUGCUUUUGAGGUAGUGGCUUUUUAAACCCAAAGUGAAAUUAAUUCUCUUUAAUUUGUCAUAGGUAUUCACAAAUCUUUAGAAAAUUCAUAGGCACUCUCAAUAAUAAACAGAAGUUUCACCCAGGAAGUAUUUCAUUGUCUAAGGGGUAUAUGAGCGAGACUUUAAAACUUAUACUAAUGAUAAUGUAAUAAUUAACAAUUUGGAAUUGAGCAUAAUAAUUGUUAAUU